Molecule: transfer RNA, 59 nt
Filed under: Plantago ovata (blond plantain)
Lineage: Eukaryota; Viridiplantae; Streptophyta; Magnoliopsida; Lamiales; Plantaginaceae
Also listed under: 1 other name
Description: tRNA-Thr
Rfam family: tRNA
About the family: Transfer RNA (tRNA) molecules are approximately 80 nucleotides in length. Their secondary structure includes four short double-helical elements and three loops (D, anti-codon, and T loops). Further hydrogen bonds mediate the characteristic L-shaped molecular structure. tRNAs have two regions of fundamental functional importance: the anti-codon, which is responsible for specific mRNA codon recognition, and the 3' end, to which the tRNAs corresponding amino acid is attached (by aminoacyl-tRNA synthetases). tRNAs cope with the degeneracy of the genetic code in two manners: having more than one tRNA (with a specific anti-codon) for a particular amino acid; and 'wobble' base-pairing, i.e. permitting non-standard base-pairing at the 3rd anti-codon position.
Source: RNAcentral
UUAACUCAGCGGUUAGAGUAUCGCUUUCAUACGGCGGGAGUCAUUGGUUCAAAUCCAAU